RNAcentral lists this ribosomal RNA (445 nucleotides) under uncultured bacterium. Its description in RNAcentral is "partial 16S ribosomal RNA". It matches the Rfam family "Bacterial small subunit ribosomal RNA", at positions 338 to 795 of the family's 1533-position model. The record is from RNAcentral.
CCUACGGGGGGCAGCAGUCGAGAAUCAUUCACAAUGGGGGAAACCCUGAUGGUGCGACGCCGCGUGGGGGAAUGAAGGUCUUCGGAUUGUAAACCCCUGUCAUGUGGGAGCAAAUUAAAAAGAUAGUACCACAAGAGGAAGAGACGGCUAACUCUGUGCCAGCAGCCGCGGUAAUACGGAGGAUGCGAGCGUUAUCCGGAUUUAUUGGGUUUAAAGGGUGCGCAGGCGGUCUGUUAAGUCAGCGGUCAAAGCCCGGGGCUCAACCCCGGCCCGCCGUUGAAACUGGCAGUCUCGAGUUGGAGAGAAGUAUGCGGAAUGCGCGGUGUAGCGGUGAAAUGCAUAGAUAUCGCGCAGAACUCCGAUUGCGAAGGCAGCAUGCCGGCUCCACACUGACGCUGAGGCACGAAAGCGUGGGUAUCGAACAGGAUUAGAUACCCUGGUAGUC